This 3526-nucleotide long non-coding RNA is filed under the name Trifolium pratense (red clover). Its description in RNAcentral is "long non-coding RNA (TPRA_LNC008926)". Lineage: Eukaryota; Viridiplantae; Streptophyta; Magnoliopsida; Fabales; Fabaceae. The record is from RNAcentral.
UUUAAAGAAAGGAAAACGAAACUGCUCCACCGCUUCUUCACUCGAAACAUAGCUUUCCCUCCGCCUUCACUUGACCAAAACUGUCCGCCGGCAAAACGUAGCUCUCUCUCCGCCGCUUCUCUUAACUCACAGCAGGUUUCACAGGUUCGAAAAGGAAAUCGCAGUUUCUGAUUUCUAUUCAGUUUCAAUAAAUUUCGAACUCCAUUUUCCAUUUCAAUUUCAACUUAGGGUUUCAAUCAAUUUCUCUAGUUAGGGUUUCCUUCUUCUUAUGAGUGACCUGAUUUGUCAGUGAAAAUAUUUUCAAAUGUAGCAUUCCGCGUGCAUUGUCUGUGCUUUUUGUAGGACUGGUUAGAUGAUUAAGUGCAUGUAGUGCUGGUUGAUUGUUAGAAGAUAGGAGUAACAACAAGCAAAAAUCAUUUGAGGUAAGCUUUCUGACUUAUUUUUGAGUUUUAUUGAGUGCACUUAAACUGUUUGAUAAAAGUUCUCUAUGGUUGGUUUUCCUUAUUAAUCUAGAAAUACAAGAGUUUUUCAGAUUUUUAACAAAGAAUCUAGAGACAUUGAGUUUUGUGACAUAGAAAUAUGAAUAUAGAAUUUGAUUGAAGGAGACGUUUUAUGAUAAAGUAGUACACAAAGUGGAUAAACAUUUGGACAUGAUCAUAUGAUAGGGUCGUUAAUUUAUUUCUGACAAAGUGGAUCCAGGAAUUUUAGUAAGUGUGGUCAAAAUUAUAACGUAAUAAAAUAUAAAUUGUUAUUUAUAUAAUUUUAACAUUUUCUUAUACAAAAUUACUUAUUUUGGUUUAUUAGUCAAUACUCUUAAGAUACUCAUUAGUAUUAUAAAUUAGUCUUAUUAAUUUUAUAUUUGUUAUAGUGCAAUAAAUUGACUAUAUAAAAACGAUAAUACCAAAUAUAUGGGGUCACAUUGCAUAAAUAAUACUAGUAUUAACUAAAAAUAUAAUAGGCAAGUGGGGUCAGGCAAGUGGGGUCGGCUGACCCCACUGCCCCCACACUAAAUCCGUCCCUGAGUCGACAUUCCGAAUAUAUGAUUUGUUUUUAGUUACAUUUUGAAUAUAUGAUUUAAUAAUUUAGCUCCAUCGUUCAUGCUUUUACUUUCCUAUGUUAAUUUGUGACUCUAAGGUUGUCCACUGUUGUUGUAGUGACCAAUCAUAUGUAUAUGACUUAGCACAUACUAUAUAAAUUGCGUUUUUUGACAAGACUUUGUAAAACAUUAUUUCUUCCAAGACCUUUUUAAUCCUAAGCGCCUUGAACUAUUAUGAUGUCAAUUGGUAAGGGCAUACAAUAAUUAGUAAGUGCAUAUAAUUGGUAAGUGCAUACAAUAAUUAGAAGCUGAUACAAUAAAAUUGAAGCAUAAUAUGAAAGUAACAUUUCUUGAGUUUGAUCAUGUGAAUGAUGUUUACUUAAAAUAUAUGUACCUCAGUAUAUAUGUGUAUUUGUCGGUUUGUUAAUGUUUAUUUUUGUAUUCCUUCACUUUGAUAUCUUAUUGAUUUUGAUAUCCUGCAUAUUGUGUUUUAAAAUGAUAACAGUAACAUAAUAGAUUCUUUGUGAGUCAAACUCAUGAUAAGAGUUAGAGUCUCUAUUAGUGUUUCAAUUUAGUCUUAUUUCUAUAUCUAGAAAACUCAGUCCCUAAAUUGUCAAUUAGUGUUCUCACUAAUUGCCUUGUUCUGUUCCGAAUUCUGUACUUUAUAGUGUUAGGCUUAGUUUCAACGUUUUAACAGUUUUAGAUCUGUUAUAUAUUUUUGUAUCAGAAUGUAUGAAGUCUAAUUUUAUGAAUUAUCAUUGCAAACUUGUUCAGCUAUCAUGAAUAUUGAUAAGUCUUGGAUUUUAAUUGCAUUGAUGAUGAGUAUGUGGAAUUGGCUACAAACCAUAUCGUUGGUGACUUUGAAACAAAUGCGCACAUGUCUGAGUAGAUUAGUAUAGUUUAUUUUGUUAUUUAGUUAAAGGUAAACAGUUUUAAUGUAGUUAAAGCUGUGGUUAUUUUGUUUUGAAGUUGUUAAUUUUAUUCAUUUUGUAUUACCUCAUGUAUGAAGUCUCAACCUCUCCAAUUCAGAAGGAUAUGUGAGUAUACGGCAGGGAGAAAAACUUCUCUUUAGGGUUAUAGUGUAAUCGUCGCAACUCCCAAUUCCGUCUCAACCUCACCAAACCGUCACCAACGAGUAUUGAAUUGUGUGAACGUGAACCUGUAGCCAUGAAAUCCCGAUGGAACUUCUAAGGUAUGAUUAUGUAAUUAAUAAACAGUAAUCUCAAAUCCUUCUCUUUCGUUGGUAGAUCUGAGAUUCUUACUCGGAACAAAUUUUUAGGGUUUUUUACUUCUGAGAAGUAGAAGCCGCUAGUUAUUCACACUUUCAAAGGUAACCUGCUACUCUCUCUCACUAACCAAUACAAUUUUCAUCGGAACAAAUUUUUAGGGUUUUUGAUUUACUGUUACUUAUUAUAUUAGAUCUAUUUGGUCGAAUGGUUCAGAUUGAGACGUGGACAAAGAAUGUUGGGAUCGCCUCUGUUGAAGCUUGAACUUCGACUAACACAUGAGUUGAGGUAAUUACUUGAAAUAUUUCGAUGUUGCGCGUUUGGUUAUGAAAUUUUGAUUGAUUUGAUUUUGUAGUAAAAUGUUGGUAAUCAGUGAGAUUAGAAGAAUCAGAUUUAAGUGGCAGUUAAAACCCCAGCUAGAUUUCACUGUCGCAAAACAUUUCGGGGAGGUUAAAAAUCCCCGUAAACUGGCUUUAAAACCCCCUCUAAAUAGCGCAUUUUUUAUAGUGGUCUAUGUUUAAAUCCAUACUUAAUCUCCACACUUUUUUCCUUCAUCAACGUUUUAAACCAUUGAAUUUUCCUUAAUAAGGUUUUUAAUAAGAGUGUUUCUUACACCUUUAGUCUUGGUCUACUCCCUUACGUUUAUUUUAUGUUUCAAUUUGGUCCCUUACGUUUUUACCGUUUGUAAUUGUGUAAGUUAGUCCUUUCUGUCAGUUUUGUCACAUGUGGCAACUAGUUUGCAUAUGUGGACAGACACGUGGACACUUGGACACACUGACACGUGUAUAGUUCAAAUGGUGUUAGUGACAAAAUUAACGGAAAAGACUAAAUUGAAACCUAAUUGAAACAUAAGGGACCAAAUUGAUACUUUUUAAACGUAAGAGACCAAAUUGAAACCUAUAAAAUAAACGUAAGAGACCAACGUAAGAAACCUAUAAAUAAAAACUACUAAAUUUCAUUGAUGAAUUAUCUGAUACAAGGUAAAAUAAACUAACACAAACAUCAAAGACAUCCAUCCAUUUGCUAAUAUAACAAGCACCACUAGAAAAUAACAUAAUCUCACACCAUAACAUUAUUUAACUAGGACAGUUAAACACUUGCAAAAAGGUUGAAGGAAAAAAUACACCAAUCUUAAUAUAUUUCACAUAACUUAUAAUGCUCAUAUCAAAUGAUUCUUUUACUAACUUUGACAUUCAAGCCAUGUUUCAUGCGAAGAAGAAUAGAAAUCCUUGGAGUUACAGAAUGACCGUCCACAACUUGUAGG